AAGUUUCUGCGAUGUGCGUGAACUCAUAUAAUUCAACCGACAAAUUAGACACGGGUGUCUAAGUUUAUCAGUGGAUAACAAGCCUCUUUAAGAGGACGUUAAAAAUUGGUAACAAGAAUCCCACCUUACAUUAGGCGGGUGUGAAUUAAUUGGGAUAACGGCAUUGCGGGAAUAUA
This 176-nucleotide non-coding RNA is filed under the name Tissierella creatinini. RNAcentral describes it as "6S RNA". It matches the Rfam family "6S / SsrS RNA". From Rfam's summary of the family: E. coli 6S RNA was the first non coding RNA to be sequenced, but its function was unknown until recently. Lineage: Bacteria; Bacillati; Bacillota; Tissierellia; Tissierellales; Tissierellaceae. RNAcentral also lists the same sequence under 1 other name. The record is from RNAcentral.